AUUGAUCGGCGGAUCAAUCGAAUCUCUCGUGCAAUCCUGUCGAUUGACACCAAAGUGCCAGUAUCAAAUCGCAGUGACGUAAAACUUACGUGGUCGCAAAGAUCGAGAAGAAACGCGACACUCUUUAAAUCUUCUCAUGUUCGAGCAUCUGAAUACUUUUACGAGUGUACGAAAAUGAUAUUUACAUUGAUCCUUUAUAGAACGAAAUGUAACAAUAGAUUACAGGAAAUUAUUUUAUAAAUCUCUAUAAAGGAUUAAUAGCUGCUAAACUCAUUAGAAGAUAGCGAUUAUUCAUGCAAUCAAUUGUCGUUCAAUGAUUAAUGUUCAUUAAGGGCCCAAUCUACUCUAGCAGUAUUAAAAAUUGAUUAUUCUUAGGAAUUUUUGAAGAAUAUUAGAAAUUGAUCUUUUUGCUGUUUUACACGUGUUUUUAUUGAUAUAAACAGUAGUUUAAACAGUAUGUCAGUAUUUUUAAAUCAUGGAUAUUUAGCUCUUUUUUUGUUCAAUACGAGUAGAUAUCAUUAUAUUCAGUAAUUGUUUGAAUGAAAAAGCUCGAUCUAGUUUUAUUCCGUAAGAUUUUUUUUGGAAUACUGAAUCUAAUUUUAUUAGAAAAAAAUUGAAAAAUAAAGUAAUAUCAUUUUAAUAUUAGAUAUUUCAAUUUUGCUGAAAUUUUUUCAUUUUUUGAGGGAGACAGAAAAAUAUUAAAUAUUAAUUUUUUAAAUUCUAAUUAGAUUCAGUAUCCUUCAAAAAAGUGUUCUUUUUUAUUUAAAAAAAAAAGUUGAAGUUAUUCGAUCCAUUAGUUUUGAAAAUAUCCACCAUACCAACUUUGAAAACAGAGUUUCGAGAAAAACUUUAAAGUUCCGCAGGUCCAUUUCAAGAUCCGCGCGCCAUCCUAUUUUUAUAAUUAAAAUUUGAAACAUAUUCUUCAUACUUUCAGAAAAUAUAAAAAAAGAGAAAUCGAUUUUUUUCUCUCUCUUUAAAGUAGAUUGGGCCCUUAAUUAAAUUUUUAUCCGUAAGUGGACGUAUACGCCAGCCUAUAUACAUUCUUAUUAUUUUUCGAUGUAAUAAAAAUUGUUAUAACGUGAUGACAUAAUUGUUAUAACGUGAUUGAAAGUAGGACGUAAAAGCGUAGUUUAACACGGGUAAAAUGUGGCUGUGUAUCAUAGUUCAAUGUUGCGAGCGCACUAUUUAUAGAUUUUUAGUGUGAGAAGAAUUUACUGGUUCCGGGAGGCGAAUGCUUACAUGUAAAACGAGUAUCAUUACAUAUAUACGGGUGUCCUUGGAGAAGAACAAACGCAGCCAAGUCUUCCUAAGACACUUAUAUGCGUUCUCAUUAACGUCUAAAUCUAAAUUGCAUUAACAAGUCAAGCAAGUUAUUAUGAUCUGUAUCUGAUAUAUUUUUGAGUAGAAAUGAAACUGAAUCACUUUAUAAUGAGAGCGAAUAUAUGUAUAUAUACAUAACGAGGAAGACGAAAAAUAGCGUGAGUGCCCUCGAGAUGUGAAUCUUUCAAAAUCUAAAAAACACUAGAGAGCUUCGCGAGCGUCCACUUUUCGAAAAAAAAUAUUUCCAGCGCCCGAUUACUUAUGCGACUGACAAUUCGCGAAUUUGAGUUAACGCGAGCGAUCCCACCGCGUUUCUACGCCACUGGCUAACGCAAUCGUUAGAUAGAGAUACGAUCAACAAUGCCAAACCGUAUAUUACUAGUCAAUGUGUGCAUAAUAAAUCGCAGAUAGAGUAAGAUAGUUUGUUUAAUUAGGCAAUUAUGGCAACGACGACGAUUACGGCGUCUCUAUCACGCGACAGAUGACGGAGGGCGUGCCUGUAAUCUAUUACAUGAGCUCAUGCGAUGCAUUGGCUAUGCUCGAUCUUGCCAGUAACACUCGUUACGUAUGUAAAAAAGAAAACGAUACGCGAGAGACCAAAGUUAAUUAAUUAUGUAAACGUAAAACGAUUACAUUGUCGUCAAUCAAGAUAAGAAAUUGAGACGUAAUUGAACGAUAUGUAGAUACACAAGUAUCUAUUCAUCGUUUAAAGUCUACGAAUAAGAAACAAAUUGAAUAAAUUUAAUAGAGCAAAUUAUAUACAUAUUUAUCUCAAAUUUCAGCGUUGUAUUCUGUUACCGAUCAUUAUGAUAAGCUUGAAUUUUUUUGUCACACAUCUUCAAGCGAAGAUAUUAGAUUUCGGGGAUGGAGCAGAAACUUGAGAUAUCAAAUUUUUUAAUACUUUGCCAACUUUUUUUAAGCCUUGCCAUGUCAAAUGAGAUGAAGAGGCAAUUGCUGAAGCUUUUCUUACGCAUAAACCCAAAAGUAAAAUAUAUUUGCAAUUAAUUUAUACACAAUCCGAUCGCCGUUUUUCUGCGACGCUCAUAUAAUUGUAUACACAUAAUCGCUACAUUAAAUAUUACGAUACAAAUAUACAAAAUAU
Molecule: long non-coding RNA, 2422 nt
Organism: Formica exsecta
Lineage: Eukaryota; Metazoa; Arthropoda; Insecta; Hymenoptera; Formicidae
Exons: 2
Source: RefSeq, a predicted model, not a curated record